Molecule: ribosomal RNA, 253 nt
Filed under: uncultured bacterium
Lineage: Bacteria
Description: partial 16S ribosomal RNA
Rfam family: Bacterial small subunit ribosomal RNA
Source: RNAcentral
UACGUAGGGGGCAAGCGUUGUCCGGAUUUAUUGGGCGUAAAGAGCGUGUAGGCGGCCUGAAAGGUCAGCUGUGAAAACUCGAGGCUCAACCUCGAGACGUCGGUUGAAACCGUCUGGCUAGAGUCCGGAAGAGGAGUGUGGAAUUCCCGGUGUAGCGGUGAAAUGCGCAGAUAUCGGGAAGAACACCCGUGGCGAAGGCGGCACUCUGGGACGGUACUGACGCUGAGACGCGAAAGCGUGGGGAGCGAACAGG